ACUCGAGUGGCGAACGGGUGAGUAACACGUGGGUGAUCUGCCCUGCACUCUGGGAUAAGCCUGGGAAACUGGGUCUAAUACCGGAUAGGACCAUGCUUUAGUGUGUGUGGUGGAAAGUUUUUCGGUGUAGGAUGAGCCCGCGGCCUAUCAGCUUGUUGGUGGGGUAAUGGCCUACCAAGGCGGCGACGGGUAGCCGGACUGAGGGGUUGGUCGGCCACAUUGGGACUGAGAUACGGCCCAG
Molecule: ribosomal RNA, 241 nt
Filed under: uncultured Actinomycetales bacterium
Lineage: Bacteria; Bacillati; Actinomycetota; Actinomycetes; Actinomycetales
Description: partial 16S ribosomal RNA
Rfam family: Bacterial small subunit ribosomal RNA
Source: RNAcentral